UACGUAGGGGGCGAGCGUUGUCCGAAGUUACUGGGCGUAAAGAGCGCGUAGGCGGGUCUUUAAGUGAGGGGUGAAAGGUUCAGGGCUCAACCCGAACACUGCCUUUCAUACUGGGGACCUUGAGUGCGGGAGAGGCGAGUGGAAUGGUCGGUGUAGCGGUGAAAUGCGUAGAUAUCAGGAAGAACACCCGUGGCUAAGGCGGCUCUCUAGUACGGUACUGACGCUGAGACGCGAAAGCGUGGGGAGCGAACAGG
Molecule: ribosomal RNA, 254 nt
Filed under: uncultured bacterium
Lineage: Bacteria
Description: partial 16S ribosomal RNA
Rfam family: Bacterial small subunit ribosomal RNA
Source: RNAcentral